RNAcentral lists this transfer RNA (56 nucleotides) under Dipodomys ordii (Ord's kangaroo rat). It matches the Rfam family "tRNA", at positions 8 to 63 of the family's 71-position model. Rfam says of the family: Transfer RNA (tRNA) molecules are approximately 80 nucleotides in length. Their secondary structure includes four short double-helical elements and three loops (D, anti-codon, and T loops). Further hydrogen bonds mediate the characteristic L-shaped molecular structure. tRNAs have two regions of fundamental functional importance: the anti-codon, which is responsible for specific mRNA codon recognition, and the 3' end, to which the tRNAs corresponding amino acid is attached (by aminoacyl-tRNA synthetases). tRNAs cope with the degeneracy of the genetic code in two manners: having more than one tRNA (with a specific anti-codon) for a particular amino acid; and 'wobble' base-pairing, i.e. permitting non-standard base-pairing at the 3rd anti-codon position. Lineage: Eukaryota; Metazoa; Chordata; Mammalia; Rodentia; Heteromyidae. The record is from Rfam by way of RNAcentral.
UGGCUCAGUGGUAGAGCGCUUGCUUUGCAUGCAUGAGGCCCUGGUUCGAUUCCUGA